This 1980-nucleotide ribosomal RNA is filed under the name Triticum aestivum (bread wheat). Its description in RNAcentral is "partial small subunit ribosomal RNA". Lineage: Eukaryota; Viridiplantae; Streptophyta; Magnoliopsida; Poales; Poaceae. The record is from RNAcentral.
AUGCCCCCCUCCCCGGCGGCCGCGGCCGCCUCCCACCUCGCGCUCCUCCUCCUGCUCUCCUCCUCCUCCCUCUUCUUCCUCUACAAGUCCAUCACCCUCCGCCGCCUCCNCCGCAGCCUCCGCCCCUCCCCCUCCCCAUCCUCCUCCCCCGCCGCUGCCGCCGCCCCGACCCUCCUCUACGCCUCGGCCACGGGCACCUCCAAGGCCCUCGCGGCGCGCCUCUCGGCCCGCCUCGCGAACGCUGGGCUGCCCGCCCGCGCCACCGACGCCGCCGCCUUCGACCCGGACGACCUGCCCUCGGUCCCGCUCCUCCUCCUCGUCCUCCCCACGCACGACGCCGGGGCGCCCCCGCCCGGCGCCGCCUUCCUCGCGCGCUGGCUCGCGGAGACCGCCGCCGACUUCCGCGCCGGGGCGCUGCUCCUCUCGGGCCUCCGCUUCGCCGUCUUCGGCGUCGGCUCGCGGGCCUACGGCGACACCUUCAACGCCGCCGCCAGGAGCUUCUCGCGCUGGCUCCGCGCGCUCGGGGCCGUCGAGGUGCUGCCCGUCGGGGAGGGCGACGUGGAUGAGGGGGACCUCGACGACGUCUUCGAGGAGUGGUGCGGGAGGGUGCUCAGGGUGGUCAAAGGGGAGGAGGUUGAGGAGGACGGGGUCGAUGGAGAGACCAAUGGAUUUGAUGGGUUGGAAGGGGAGGAGUCCGAUUAUGACGACGAUGAUGACGAGGAAGAGGAGGAGGAGGAGGUGGCUAGUGCGGAGGUUGACAUGGAAGACAUUGCCGGCAAGGCGACAGCGAAGAAGCAGAACGGGAAGGUGGAGAGUGCUUUGCCCAAUGGAGGGCAGAAUGGCGCUAGGGCGAUGGUCACGCCCAUCAUCAGGGCGAGCUUGGAGAAACAAGGCUACAAAAUUGUUGGUUCUCAUAGUGGGGUGAAGAUUUGUAGAUGGACGAAGUCACAGCUUCGAGGUCGGGGAGGGUGUUACAAGCACUCAUUUUAUGGCAUAGAAAGCCACAGAUGCAUGGAGGCAACUCCAAGUUUGGCUUGUGCAAAUAAGUGUGUGUUCUGUUGGAGGCAUCACACAAAUCCUGUUGGGAAGAGUUGGAAGUGGAAGAUGGAUGAUCCUCUUGACAUUGUUAAUACUGCAAUUGAAGAACACAGGAAGAUGGUUAAGCAAAUGAAAGGCGUGCCAGGAGUAAAGCCAGAGCGACUAGCAGAGGGUCUAUCCCCUAGACAUUGUGCAUUAUCUCUUGUUGGCGAACCAAUUAUGUACCCAGAGAUAAAUACUCUGGUUGAUGACCUACAUCGCAGACAUAUAUCUACGUUUCUGGUUACAAAUGCUCAAUUUCCUGAAAAGAUUAAGGCUCUGAAACCUAUCACACAGCUGUAUGUCAGUGUGGAUGCAGCUACAAAAGAAAGCCUGAAGGCUGUUGACAGGCCACUCUUUUCGGACUUCUGGGAGCGUUUUCUGGAUUCGCUCAAGUCCCUGCAUGACAAAGAUCAAAGGACGGUGUACCGACUGACACUGGUCAAAGGCUGGAAUGUGGAAGAGAUAGAUGCAUAUGCAAACUUACUAAAACUUGGGCAACCCGAUUUCAUUGAAAUCAAGGGUGUAACAUACUGUGGCUCGUCAGCAACUUCAAAGUUGACAAUGGAAAAUGUCCCCUGGCACGCUGAUGUAAAAGAAUUCUCUGAGGUGUUGGCAUCAAAAAGUGAUGGCAUAUAUGAAUUAGCCUGCGAGCAUGUGCAUUCAUGCUGUGUCCUGCUCGCAAAGGUGGACAAGUUCAAGAUCAAUGGAAAAUGGCAUACCUGGAUAGAUUACGACCGAUUCAAUGAACUGGUGACAUCCGGCAAGCCUUUCAAGAGCAGUGAUUACAUGGCCGUGACACCUUCUUGGGCCGUGUAUGGCGCAGACGAAGGUGGCUUCGAUCCAGAUCAAGCUCGCUUCAGGAAGGAAAGGCGCCAUGGAGCUGCAGCACUCAAAGGCUAA